Molecule: ribosomal RNA, 253 nt
Filed under: uncultured bacterium
Lineage: Bacteria
Description: partial 16S ribosomal RNA
Rfam family: Bacterial small subunit ribosomal RNA
Source: RNAcentral
UACAGAGGGGGCAAGCGUUGUUCGGAUUCAUUGGGCGUAAAGGGUGCGUAGGUGGCGGGGUAAGUCAGGUGUGAAAUCUCUGAGCUUAACUCAGAAACUGCCAUGGAUACUAUUUGUCUUGAAUAUUGUGGAGGUAAGCGGAAUAUGUCAUGUAGCGGUGAAAUGCUUAGAUAUGACAUAGAACACCAAUUGCGAAGGCAGCUCGCUACACUACUAUUGACACUGAGGCACGAAAGCGUGGGGAUCAAACAGG